Bacillus rossius redtenbacheri is the source of this 1828-nucleotide long non-coding RNA. RefSeq lists it as uncharacterized. Lineage: Eukaryota; Metazoa; Arthropoda; Insecta; Phasmatodea; Bacillidae. The transcript is spliced from 2 exons. The record is from RefSeq and is a predicted model, not a curated record.
UUCACAGGUAUCUAGUUUGACUUUAUGAAUCUCUAAAAAGUUUAUAUAUGCUCUAGAAGUUAAUAAAUAUUAUCAUAAGUAAGAAAGUGUGUAGGGGAUAUUUUAAUUCCUAACCGCGCAGCUUCAGCUCAUGCCACAGCAGCUGUAUGGAAUGAACCACACAGCUGUGUGGGUUACCAUGGCAACAAAUCAUCAGGAUGCAUGGGCCACAGAUCCCAAGACUCACCAGACACCUGCAUCUUAACCAAGCCAGAUGUGACUAACACUGACCCCAUGAAAUUAUCAUGCCCCAAAAACUGUCACCCUGGAUCCACAGAAAAAAAAAGUGUUAGCAUUUGUAUUCCAAUACAGCAGCGCACUAAUACACACGCAGGCCAUAAACCUUUCUCCUGUACUCUAUGUUCUGCUAAGUUUAGCCUUGCUGGUAAUCUGAAACGGCACUCUCUAACACACACUGUAGAAAAACCUUUCUCUUGUACAGUAUGUUCUGCUAAGUUUAGCCAGGCUAGUACUCUGAAGCGGCACUCUCUUACACACACUGGAGAAAAACCUUUCUCUUGUUCUGUAUGUUCUGCUAAGUUUAGCCAUGCUGGUAAUCUGAAGCGGCACUCUCUAACACACACUGGAGAAAAACCUUUCUCUUGUUCAGUAUGUACUGCUAAGUUUAGCCGGGCUAGUCAUCUGAAGCAGCACUCUCUAACACACACUGGAGAAAAACCUUUCUCUUGUUCUGUAUGUUCUGCUAAGUUUAGCCAUGCUGGUAAUCUGAAGCAGCACUCUCUAACACACACUGGAGAAAAACCUUUCUCUUGUACUGUAUGUUCUGCUAAGUUUAGCCAUGCUAGUAAUCUGAAGUGGCACACUCUAACACACACUGGUGAAAAACCUUUCUCCUGUACUGUAUGUUCUGCUAAGUUUGGCCAGGCUAGUCAUCUGAAGGAGCACUCUUUUACACACACUGGAGAAAAACAUUUCCUUAUGUGAUAUUACAUCUCUCAAUAUUGAAUAUUUUAUUAUUUUUUCAUCCCGACCAUAAAUAAUAAUUCUUUGCGAAAUUACAUUUGUAUUAAUUGCUCUAUGCAAUAGUGAUUUAACUUCUAUGAUGAAAAGACAAAAGUAAUGUUUGUGCUAUGGUAAAAGGAAUUUUAAAAAAGGAAAGACUGACUUUUUUUGGUAAAUUAAGUUUAAGGACGUGUUUAAGUAUUUGGAUGUAAUUGGUAAUUGAAGCAAGACUUUGAGUUAAAUGAAGAGGUAUUACAAUUUGCAAUAUAUUGAUUUAUUGAAGUUAUACAAAAGUACUGUCGGCGUAAUUACACGCUUUAUAUUAGCUUCACCUGUAUGUUUGUUUGUAUGUUUGUAACCGACUCCUUUGGGUGCGAUUUUGACCCACUUUAAACGGCUAGAUUUCAUUCUUACUUUGUAGAUUUAUCGAGGACCGAUGACCAUACACUAAUUUGAUAAGAUUAUUCCAUUAUUCAAUUUGUAAAAUAAGAUUUUUGUCAAUUUAUAUAAUUUCAAUAUAUUUAGUAGGCUUUGUUUAUAUCGUGCCAAAGACAAAAUGAAAAAAAAAAGAGUUCACACAUUGUAACGAAAACCUUUUCGCUCAUGUGCAAACUCUUUUCUUUCAGUUUGUCUUUGGCGCGAUAUAACAAAGCCUACUAAAUAUUUUGACAUUUAAUUAAAUGAAAAGUGAGAGUGGGUUAUGAUUAUUGUGAACAAUAAACUUUCUUGAAGAGAAUAUUAUCUAUAUUUGUAAAUAUAUGAAAAAAAUAACCUGAAAUAAGGGCUUUAAAUGUUGCUUCUUUCGUUAAAUAGAGAAACACAAUUA